Molecule: ribosomal RNA, 497 nt
Filed under: uncultured bacterium
Lineage: Bacteria
Description: partial 16S ribosomal RNA
Rfam family: Bacterial small subunit ribosomal RNA
Source: RNAcentral
GAUGAACGCUGGCGGCGUGCCUAAUACAUGCAAGUCGAGCGAACGGACGAGAAGCUUGCUUCUCUGAUGUUAGCGGCGGACGGGUGAGUAACACGUGGAUAAGCUACCUAUAAGACUGGGAUAACUUCGGGAAACCGGAGCUAAUACCGGAUAAUAUUUUGAACCGCAUGGUUCAAAAGUGAAAGACGGUCCUGCUGUCACUUAUAGAUGGAUCCGCGCUGCAUUAGCUAGUUGGUAAGGUAACGGCUUACCAAGGCAACGAUGCAUAGCCGACCUGAGAGGGUGAUCGGCCACACUGGAACUGAGACACGGUCCAGACUCCUACGGGAGGCAGCAGUAGGGAAUCUUCCGCAAUGGGCGAAAGCCUGACGGAGCAACGCCGCGUGAGUGAUGAAGGUCUUCGGAUCGUAAAACUCUGUUAUUAGGGAAGAACAUAUGUGUAAGUAACUGUGCACAUCUUGACGGUACCUAAUCAGAAAGCCACGGCUAACUACGUG